RNAcentral lists this ribosomal RNA (440 nucleotides) under uncultured bacterium. RNAcentral's name for it is "partial 16S ribosomal RNA". It matches the Rfam family "Bacterial small subunit ribosomal RNA", at positions 339 to 795 of the family's 1533-position model. The record is from RNAcentral.
CUACGGGCGGCUGCAGUCGAGAAUCUUCGGCAAUGGACGAAAGUCUGACCGAGCGACGCCGCGUGCGGGAUGAAGGCCUUCGGGUUGUAAACCGCUGUCAGAGGGAAGGAAAUUUUGACCGAUCCUCAAAGGAAGUACGGGCUAGGUUCGUGCCAGCAGCCGCGGUAAGACGAACCGUACAAACGUUAUUCGGAAUCACUGGGCUUAAAGGGUGCGUAGGUGGUCUAUUAAGUUGGGUGUGAAAUCCCUCGGCUCAACCGAGGAACUGCGCUCAAUACUGGUAGACUUGAGGGAGAUAGAGGUGAGCGGAACUGAUGGUGGAGCGGUGAAAUGCGUUGAUAUCAUCGGGAACACCUGUGGCGAAAGCGGCUCACUGGAUCUCUUCUGACACUGAGGCACGAAAGCUAGGGGAGCGAACGGGAUUAGAUACCCCAGUAGUC